CUACCAUUGUAGUAUAAAAUGGGUCAUGUCCGAUCCUAUGUUACGGAUGGAAUGCUUUAAAAAUUUCUCUACGACUUUUGGGAUUCUCAUUAUACAAUAAAUAAAAUUAAUUUAUAGUAUUAUUUUGAAUAAUGGAAUGAAACCUGUGCGCACAUCCGUGAUAUGGUGGUUCAUACAGAAAUAAUUUCGUUCUUUUUUAUUUGAUGUCGUGUUAAACCAUUUACGAUACUCUAUAAUCUAUGGAAUGAUCAACUUCUCUCUUCUUUUUCAAACGAAGCAAUACUAAUUAUUAACUCUUUCAUGACACUCUUUCUAUCGUAUUUCAAACGAAAGUUCCACCAAGCCCUCAAGUUUUCCCAUCUGUAAUUGUUGCUAUUAUUAUUAAUCACCCGUUCUCAAACUGAAACCUUUUACUAUUCAACCCAUGAUUUAGCAGUCAUUUGUUUUAGCCGAAAAUUACUCAUUACGCUAUCGUUUUCUAGACUCUAGGAGAUGUAAAUAACUUAUGUUUUAGGAAAUAGUGUCCCGCUAUUAGCCCCCACGGAAGCUGUCGUUUUUGUGAACUUCUUGGAAGAGAUGCCUCAUGCAGCGCCUCCUUGAGACUUUUGCAAUUGUAAAUCUCUUGUGCAUUACCUUCUAUAACGAUAUAAAGUACACACUGUACUGCAGCAUUACUCACAAGCAUUUGUGUUCUUCGAAGAUUUCUUUCCGAACCUAGUCGGAGCUGCGUUCCACCUUGUUCCGUGCCUGCGUUAAGUGUUUCACGGAAAGUAAAGGCACGCUAUACGCCUGACGGCUGAUUUCAAUAGACAAGAGAUAUGUCUGCGGAUAUAGUACCGUUGAGCGCAGUGAACGAAAGUCGUUUGGUAGUCGAUAUGCAGCAAUUGCUAUAGUUGAAUACAUAAAUAGUAAUUCUAAGUUUGUAAAAAAUAGAAAUAAAAUUGUAAGAUUAACGACAUUGUAUAUUUGUUUAAUGGUUUGUUCGACCGAUCGUCAUGACAUAAAGUGGAAGCGCUCAGCUCAUCAAACUUACCGGGAACCACUUCGACUC
Molecule: non-coding RNA, 1051 nt
Organism: Schizosaccharomyces pombe (fission yeast)
Lineage: Eukaryota; Fungi; Ascomycota; Schizosaccharomycetes; Schizosaccharomycetales; Schizosaccharomycetaceae
Source: the annotation of a GenBank genome assembly